This 1152-nucleotide long non-coding RNA is filed under the name Zalophus californianus (California sea lion). RNAcentral describes it as "lncRNA (ENSZCAG00015007212.1)". The record is from RNAcentral. Lineage: Eukaryota; Metazoa; Chordata; Mammalia; Carnivora; Otariidae.
AUGGGAGUCUCGUCUCUUUUCUUCUCAUUCAAGAACAAGCCAGGACAAGUGAUUCUGGAAAAGGGGAGGGGACUGGCGAGGGGGAGAGGAUACUUACGCGGGUGCAGAGGGCAGUGGGACCGAGCGUGGUUUUGCCGGCAGGGAGAGGAGAACACGCGCGCGCACACACGCGGCGGUGUCUUGCGGUUGAUGAAUGUGAUAAUUGGACCCGGGCCGAUCCAGCAGAGAGGCCAACGUGGGCGUGGAUUUCGGGAGAGAGAUACCGAAGAUCCCUGCCUGGACACACAAACACACACAAAACCAUCCACUCUCCACCACCACCACCCUGAAGAGAGGAAGAGAAAGAGAGAAAAACCAACUCCAGGGUGCAGGCCGGCCUGCUUCCGGCUGUCUAGAGGCAGGCUGACCGCCAUUCUCUCAUCCCCCACCCCCCUAUCCCCUGUGCCCAGUGUGACACCAGGCCCAACCUGGGUCUGUUCUGAAUGGGGGGAAAAGUGAAAUGCCACAAGAUCAGUAGCAAGGAGCAGCUGCGGCGUUUCUCUCCUGGGAACGCCACUGCUUCGAAGCCUCCCGAGUGAUGUUUGUUUAACCAACAGCUUUCAAAGUAAACAGAGGCCAAGCGCUCCAAAGAAGUUGAAAUAUAACCCUUACAAGAAUUUGGGGCCCGAGUGCCGGCGGAAAAAGUAAUUUUUUUUUUUAAGUAAUAAAGCUUCCAUCCCAAAUAAGGGUCCACCUCAAUGCCUAAAGGAAACUAGAACUGCCAUAAAAAUACAAAUUCAUCGAAAGGAUUCAUUACAAUAAAGUGACCUCCAAGAAAAUCACCCCGCGUCCACAAAAACACACCUGCGGGGUUGGUUGGCAGCGAGGGAAGGGGCACACUACUAACUUGAUUUUAGGGAAGUGGGCGAAAACAAUCAAAGGGAGGUACAUUCCCUGCCCCGGAGUAGAAAAGAGUAGGCUGGGAGCUUUGCGCCGCCAACCCUGGCUUUGCCUCAGGCACCGAACUUUCCAAUAUCAAGAUAUUAACAGAUGGUGGUGAGCACAUGGAGGGCUGUUACUUACAUAAUCCAGCCACUCCGCCCGGCCGCGCUGAGCCGGGCAAGGCGUCCGCCAGGCCGCGCGCGCGCCUCCCGAGAGGUGCUGUUGGCCCCC